UGCGUCAUACGUUGUAAGCGUCUAGUAUUUCGUAAUAGUGGAAAAUAUCUUGUUAUGCAUAUACAAAUUAUAAACUCACUCAUUGGCAACAGUCUUGUGUGAGAGGGAGGGAGGAUAAGCCGAUUACUGACUCAGUCAGCCCCUCUGUAUCUGUGCAGGCAUCGUAUCCCUGACGCGCUCUCACAGAUCAUCCUGUAGAUCGUAUUUUGUUGUAUCUACUGCACAAUGGUUAUAGUAUCGGACAAGAAGAAAGCUCUAAAGGUAAGAGCUCUACGCGCUAGCCAAGUAAAGAAGAAGUGUAAAGCCGCACUGAGGCAAAACAGAGUUCUCUUGAGUGAAGAUAGAGGAGGGCUCGCUGCAGGAGUGUGUCACAGCCUCCCGCCCCACAACGCACACUACCUCGCCUCACUACAUCACACUCCCAGGCACCCGCAGCACCUGCCACACCUCCUGCGGCACCUGCCACACCUCCUGCAGCACCUGCCACACCUACUGCGGCACCUAGUGCCACACCUGCGGCACCGGCCACACGGCAUAUGCCACUCAAGAUCUUAGACUUGCAACUCCAGACGUUCUCCCUCUUGAUGUUGCAGGAUGUUGCAUAUUUCAGACUAAUUAUAUUAGGCGAUCUUCAUGAAACUUCCACACCUUACUGAAGGAAUGCCAAUCUACAAGGGUGGUAAUUUUGAUUGAAAUUGGUCGUUCAUCAACCUCAGCCACAGGUGGCUAAACUUUGACCUUGAUUUUCUACAGGCUGCGAUGCUGAAACUUGAACCAGUUGCAGCCCUCUUUAAAUGUAACACGUCAAUAAAUUUUCAUUGCACUAGAACAACUUUUAUGAAACCAAACUAAUGCCCCCUUAUGGGGGUGUAGCCUCACUUUGAUACUGUCCC
Non-coding RNA from Procambarus clarkii (red swamp crayfish), 893 nucleotides. The record is from RefSeq and is a predicted model, not a curated record. Lineage: Eukaryota; Metazoa; Arthropoda; Malacostraca; Decapoda; Cambaridae.